GCAGCAGUGGGGAAUCUUGCACAAAUGGCCCAAGCGUAAUGCAGCCAUACCGCGUGUGUGAUGAAGGCCUUAGGGUUGUAAAGCACUUUCAGUCGGGAGGUAAGGGUACUAAUUAGUACGUGAUAGCUCUGACAUUACUGACUGAAGAAGCACCGGCUAACUCCGUGCCAGCAGCCGCGGUAAUACGGAGGGGGUGAGCGUUAUUCGGAAUUACUGGGCGUAAAGCGUACGCAGGCGGUUUGUUAAGCGAGAUGUGAAAUCCCCGGGCUCAACCUGGGAACUGCAUUUAAAACUGUCAAUCUAGAGUUUGAUAGAGGGGAGUAGAAUUUCAGGUGUAGCGGUGAAAUUCGUAGAUAUUUGAAGGAACACCGAUGGCGAAGGCGGCCCCCUGGCUCAACACUGACGCUCAUGUACGAAAGCGUGGGGAGCAAACAGGAUUAGAUACCCUGGUAGUCCACGCCGUAAACGAUGUCUACCAGAAGUUCGGAACCUCUUUUCUGUUUUUCACAGCUAACGCAUUAAGUAGAUCGCCAGUCGAUAAAGUCACAGGGUUAAAACUC
This 560-nucleotide ribosomal RNA is filed under the name uncultured bacterium. RNAcentral describes it as "bacterial SSU rRNA". It matches the Rfam family "Bacterial small subunit ribosomal RNA", at positions 348 to 902 of the family's 1533-position model. The record is from RNAcentral.